Molecule: non-coding RNA, 1454 nt
Organism: Chrysemys picta bellii (western painted turtle)
Lineage: Eukaryota; Metazoa; Chordata; Testudines; Emydidae
Source: RefSeq, a predicted model, not a curated record
CCUCAGCUGAAGUCAAGCAGGCCGUACUGAUUUACGUGAGUGUGGAUCUAGGCCUUUGUGUGCAAUGCUGAAGAGAAAGCAGCUGCCUAUGUUUCUGCUGCCCAACGUGGUGCUCCUGGAAAGGUCCCUGGCUUUAUGGAAUGACCGUUUCAGCCCAGGGGAAAGAAGUGAGUUUCAGUUCUUGGAACACCACCAAAACCUAGAUUGGAGUGUUCCCCACUGAAACAGACCAGGUGCCCAAUAAAGAAACUAAAAAUAACCCCCUGAAGAGCUGUACCUUCUUCCAUCCUGCUCCCUGGCAUGAGCCCUCUAACAUUAACCACACACCCAGGGAGACGAGCAUGUAUUUCCAACCACUGAGAUCACAUUUAUUUUUAUGUCUGGAGUGAACUUUGCCACAAAGGGUCAAGGCUUUCGGGGGAGAAAGAAGCUCAGCAAACCCCCACAAAAGGGACGUGAUAUUUCCUCCCCUAAAUGCAGGUGAGAGUCAGAUACAAUGUUAACAUGCUCAAGUUCCACUGAAGAUCCUAUAAAUAUAUGAGAUACACAGGAACCCAUGGCCUUGAGGCACAGGGCUUCCUAAGGGUCUAUUUUUAUUUGCAGGAAGCAGGAGAUGAAAAUGAGAGCAUCCAUCACUUCCACACCAUAUCGGGGGUCACUGGUGACACGUCCAUCUGAUCAGAUUCAGGUCCACUGUACUAGGCCGGAUCACGCAUUUACCUGUCAGAGACACGCAGCUCCCUUUGAAUUCAACGCAAAUUGUCCUUGUGUGAAUGAGAUCAGAAUGCGAGCCAGGGACAAUGCACCCAUCAUUCUCAUUAACCCUUUGAGCACUAGCAUUUCCCAAGCCAGCAGCCAGAUGAAUAGUAAUUUUCUCCCUAUGACCAGUACCCAAAUGUCUCAGGACAUCUUUACCUACAAACUCACUACAACAAGAUUUUCACAAUGGCUCGGAGCUGCAGGUCAACACCGAGAGAGCUGUGCGUCGGACAGCCCAGGGCUGGACUGGACAGGGUGACGCAGGUCAGAGUUGCGUGGACAGAGCUGUGGGGGUGCCCAGGACUGGAACGGCAGACAUGCUGCAGGACAGGAUUGAGAGGCAAUGGCCAAGCUGCGUGGAGAGCCCUGGACUGGAAUAGCAGGGUGCGUACUACAGGUCAGGAAGGAAGUGAGUCGACAAAGCUGUGUGUCCUCAGUUUUAAUAAGCAGCAAAUUCAUCCACACACAAUAAUGAGGAAAGGAAACAAAGUAACUAAAUGACUCCAGUAAACUCCUAGCAUGUAGAGCUCUAGGUGGACAUGAAAGAGAACUCACUCCAGAGAGAAAGAGGAUGAUGGGCUUGAUCCUGAGCUCCCACUCCUCCCACAGACGUAGGAUCAGGACCUAACGCAACAGUGAGGGGAGGUGGAAACCCAGAGGGACAAAGGUUUCCUGCCUUAUGCAAAAGAUAUAUA